Molecule: transfer RNA, 72 nt
Filed under: Candidatus Woesearchaeota archaeon CG1_02_47_18
Lineage: Archaea; Nanobdellati; Candidatus Woesearchaeota
Also listed under: 2 other names
Description: tRNA-Val
Rfam family: tRNA
About the family: Transfer RNA (tRNA) molecules are approximately 80 nucleotides in length. Their secondary structure includes four short double-helical elements and three loops (D, anti-codon, and T loops).
Source: RNAcentral
GGGCCUGUGAUCUAGUGGUAUGAUGUCACCUUGACGUGGUGAAUGUCACCGGUUCGAACCCGGUCAGGCCCA